This 497-nucleotide ribosomal RNA is filed under the name uncultured bacterium. Its description in RNAcentral is "partial 16S ribosomal RNA". It matches the Rfam family "Bacterial small subunit ribosomal RNA", at positions 28 to 507 of the family's 1533-position model. The record is from RNAcentral.
GAUGAACGCUGGCGGCGUGCCUAAUACAUGCAAGUCGAGCGAACGGACGAGAAUCUUGCUUUUCUGAUGUUAGCGGCGGACGGGUGAGUAACACGUGGAUAACCUACCUAUAAGACUGGGAUAACUUCGGGAAACCGGAGCUAAUACCGGAUAAUAUUUUGAACCGCAUUGUUCAAAAGUGAAAUACGGUCUUGCUGUCACUUAUAGAUGGAUCCGCGCUGCAUUAGCUAGUUGGUAAGGUAACGGCUUACCAAGGCAACGAUGCAUAGCCGACCUGAGAGGGUGAUCGGCCACACUGGAACUGAGACACGGUCCAGACUCCUACGGGAGGCAGCAGUAGGGAAGCUUCCGCAAUGGGCGAAAGCCUGACGGAGCAACGCCGCGUGAGUGAUGAAGGUCUUCGGAUCGUAAAACUCUGUUAUUAGGGAAGAACAUAUGUGUAAGUAACUGUGCACAUCUUGACGGUACCUAAUCAGAAAGCCACGGCUAACUACGUG